RNAcentral lists this long non-coding RNA (705 nucleotides) under Equus caballus (horse). RNAcentral describes it as "lncRNA (ENSECAG00000051857.1)". Lineage: Eukaryota; Metazoa; Chordata; Mammalia; Perissodactyla; Equidae. The record is from RNAcentral.
AAAUAAACAGAAAGUGCUGCUCAACUUCCAAGGACAACAACUGCCCUGAGGUUGCAGGAGUCAGAGAAGAUGUCAGAGGAGCAGCCUCCCUUGACCAGGGUCUUUAAGGAAGAGUGUCCCAGGCACGAGGGCAGCCCAGUGCUACACAGUCAUGCAGAUGGGCAGUGGCAGAGCUUCCACACACUCUCUGGGUGAUUUACAAGAGGCCAUGUUACCUGAGAGCACCUGUUCCAGAGCCAGACCACCUGCGCUGGAGUUCCUGCUCCUGAAUCCCCACUGUGACACUUCGGAGCAGAGACUCAGAGAGAAAGAGAAUGUGAUGAUCCAGAACCUGAGAACUGAAAAGAUACAAGAUCACAGAUGGCUAGACCAUAAAGAUGAAGUAGGAAGGAAUCCACUGUCUACUUUGAAACAGACUCAUCAUAAGAUGGAGAAUGUCUUUGGAGAAAUCGUGAGAAGGCCAUGCAAAAUAUAUCUUCAAGGUCUGAACUUCCUUGGAUGACAGAUCCAGGCUCCUCAGGACCCUAAACAGCAAUCCGAGUCUGGCCUGACUUACUUUUCACUCUCUUUCACUAAACCUGGGCAAAACUGGAGGUAAGCAGAUCCUGACCACUGGGAGAGCAGAGCCAUUCUCUUUCUGCCCUCUAGGCUCCUCUCCUGAUCUUUAGCCUGACCUGAGCACACCCAGCAGCAGCCUCAUUUGCC